Pseudopodoces humilis (Tibetan ground-tit) is the source of this 1158-nucleotide long non-coding RNA. RefSeq lists it as uncharacterized. The record is from RefSeq and is a predicted model, not a curated record. NCBI's taxonomy places the organism in Eukaryota, Metazoa, Chordata, Aves, Passeriformes, Paridae.
CUUUCCUGGCUGAACUUCCUACUGAUCAGAAUUUCCUUCUGAUCCUAAGGGAAUUGUAGCAAGGACCAGAGGUCACUGCUAUGACAAAGCAUAGGCUUGGGAACAGCAGUUAUUGACAAGCUUCUGUUCAGUGAGCACCAGAAUAAUCCCCUAAAUCAUCAAGGGAAGCUCAGGUCACCUUCCAUUCCACACAUCCCUAACUGGUUUAUUAAUAGACUGAAUACAUUUGCUAUUUCUACAUAAGGUUGGCCUCUCAAGCCUGCAGUCCCUUCUUCCCCACCAUCAAAGAAGGAUUGGUGCUCCAUAAUGCAUUCUCUUCCUUCCCUGGGGAACCUCAACAAGCACUACUCUGGUUGUUUAUAUUCCUGGCUUUCGCCUAGUUUUCCAGGUUAUCAAGAUUUCUGUCAGGGCCCACUUCUGAUCCCCUCUAAACAGGUUUUAAGAUGCCAGCUUUAAUGGAGUUACUUCUGAUUUAGUUCACUUUGGCAAGUAAUCACUCCAUGAUCCUCCACAGGAUUUGUUGGGCAUCAACUCUCUAAUUGUGCUGCAUAAUGCUUUUAUUUUCCUUACGGGGCCUCCUAGCCCCAAAUCUAUGCCUCAGCAAAAGUCCCACCGUAAGUUCAUCUUCACAUCACAGCCUGAAGGGGGACAAAGAAACAGAGCAUCAGGAUCACAGGAAGAGAAUACAGCAUGGGCUCUUACCUUCCACUCCAUUUUUCCUGUUGUCUGUGGCUUUCCUCUGCUGCAAGAAUAAGAAGACAAAGGACUUUUGCCCCAAACCCAUUUCUGCUGAUGCUUACACUAAGCUGAGACAUUUUAAUCUGUCCUGUCCACAAUAACUCUGUUCAUCCCAUCUGGGUCUUUCACUGAAAGAAAAAUCUCACCUGCUUUAGAGGUGUCUGUUGGUUUGUUAGAGAGCAAUCAAAUCUAGUAAAGAGAUUAAAGGGGCAGUUCCAGAGACAGAUGAGAUACAUGGAAUGGUUUCUCCUGGAUGCAUCAAUCUUGCAUCUAGUUACAGUAAAUCAGUGCCACAAUGAACUCAAUCCAUUUCAUGAACACAGGGGCUAAGGGUUCAUUUUACAGCUGAGAGCAGUUUAUUCCCAGAAGUUAAUGCCCUGCAAAAGGAGAUGAAGCAGAUGAAACAUACCAAGCUGGAAG